Molecule: non-coding RNA, 1084 nt
Organism: Macaca mulatta (Rhesus monkey)
Lineage: Eukaryota; Metazoa; Chordata; Mammalia; Primates; Cercopithecidae
Source: RefSeq, a predicted model, not a curated record
GGGAAAGCCAUCAACCGGCUCCACGAGGCCGUGCCUGGCGUCCGGGGAUCCUGGAAGAAAAAGGCCCCCAACAAGGCCCUGGCGUCUGUCCUGGGCAAGAGCAACCUUCGCUUCGCCGGCAUGAGCAUCUCCAUCCACAUCUCCACCGACGGCCUUCAGCCUCUCCGUGCCCGCCACGCGCCAGGUCAUCGCCAACCACCACAUGCCGUCCAUCUCCUUUGCAUCGGGCGGAGACACGGACAUGACGGAUUACGUGGCCUACGUCGCCAAGGACCCCAUCAACCAGAGAGCCUGCCACAUCCUGGAGUGCUGUGAAGGCCUGGCCCAGAGCGUCAUCAGCACCGUCGGCCAAGCCUUCGAGCUGCGCUUCAAGCAGUACCUGCACAGCCCACCCAAGGUGGCACUGCCCCCAGAAAGGUAACAGACCCGCCUCCCCCAUGCCCUGGGGACGCCCCCAGCGACCUGCCCGGGUGCAGAGCCGGCUCCACCUCCUGCAGGCCUCGGCCUCCAUCCUGCCCUUGUCCCUCCCUCCCUGUCCCCGAGAAUGUGGCUCGGCCAGAGGAUCCUGUUUCCUCGGCUGUAACACCCGGGUGAACGCAUCCCCGCCCCCAGGACUGGGGAGGACUGAGCGAGCUGACUCCCCGGUGUGCCCGAGGCUGUCAGCCCUGCCGCUAUAACCAACAUCCCUCCUCCAGACGCACGGCCGGCUCAACGGCCUCUGUCUCACCGCAGAAGAUGUGUGUGGGGGGCGUGUCUGUGUGCUGGUAACGUUAUUCAUAGACGUUGAAGUGUGAAUGUCACGUGUCGCAAAAUAUGAUUCUCUGGAUGUUUCUCAAACACUUAACUUUGAUGAUUUAGAGGCUGAACGCCCAUUCUUAGCUCGUGGGACACACAGAUCUAGGCAGUGAGCUGGAUUUGGCCCUGGGCUGGGGUUUGCCAGCCGGCCUUGGAGAAGGAGGCAUUUAAGUCUAUUCAUCAUUAGAAAGUCACGUUCCUCCAGCGGUGGGAGGGCAGGUGCAGGCCCGUGAGCUCCCAGCCCUGCUGGUCACGCGUGCUCACGCUCACCCCUUUGUGCACAGGGACG